GACGAACCGAGCGAACGUUGUUCGGAAUCACUGGGCUUAAAGGGCGCGUAGGCGGGGUCAUAAGUCUGUGGUGAAAUCCUCCGGCUCAACCGGGGAACUGCGUCUGAGACUGAUGAGCUCGAGUGCAGGAGAGGAACGCGGAAUUCCAGGUGUAGCGGUGAAAUGCGUAGAUAUCUGGAGGAACACCGGUGGCGAAGGCGGCGUUCUGGACUGCAACUGACACUGAGGAACGAAAGCCAGGGGAGCAAACGGG
This 253-nucleotide ribosomal RNA is filed under the name uncultured bacterium. RNAcentral's name for it is "partial 16S ribosomal RNA". It matches the Rfam family "Bacterial small subunit ribosomal RNA", at positions 524 to 776 of the family's 1533-position model. The record is from RNAcentral.